AACAAACAUAGAAAUUAGGGUAGAUAUUAUCUUCUCAUCCUGAAAAAAGAAAGGAGCAUAAUAAGAAGAUUGAGAGGAAGAAUAUUACACGAUUAUUAUCCCCCUUGUAAUUGCCUUUAUGUUGUCAAAUGAAAGUUUACUUGGGGUCAUUUGCUUUAAAAUGAUCAGGGAUUGGUUUGUGAGGAUCUAGAGCGCAAGGUAAAGGCAUCCAUGUAGUCCCUGCACAUUCGUUAAGCUGUUUGGAACAUUCUCUAAUUGAACAUUUCUGACACUUAGCAACACAUGUGUUAAACAAGCACUGGGAGGCACAGUGCUUAACUCCACAAUGAGCAGUUUUUGCCCAGCAAUCAUUACAUUGAGCUGAUAAUUUUAAACCAUCAAAACUAAGCUUUGAAAUACACCUAAAUGUAUUCUUAUAGCUCCCAAGAGCUUUCCUGGAGCAUUUUGCAACAGCAUUUUGGAAUUCAUCUCUGUGAGAACCAAAGACAAUAUUCACAUCUGAAGCAAGUUUCACACAACUUCCAAUUGAGGAGCUGUUAAAAGGAGCAACUGGAGUCACGACAGUAGUAUUUUUCAUAGCAGCUUCAAUUUUAUCCCAGGAAUCUGAAAUAAUUUCAGUUGUAUUAGUAUCCAUAUUCUCGAAAAGCUCCCUAUUUUCUUCAGAAUGUUCAAGAUCUUUGAUUAAAUCAGUCAAAUUCUUGCCCUGAUCGUACUCUCUUUUAAUAAUCUCCAAACUUUCAAUGAUAGACUCUUUUUCAGAAAUCUUCGUGUAGUUCUCAUUCAAAAUGAUAUUUGAUGAUCUGACAUUUUGAAUUAAAGCUGUUAGAGCUAUAAUGAAUAACAAUCUUAAUGAAACCAUUUUAAUUUCUUUAUUUUUUUCUUUAAAA
RNAcentral lists this non-coding RNA (887 nucleotides) under Cryptosporidium parvum. Lineage: Eukaryota; Apicomplexa; Conoidasida; Eucoccidiorida; Cryptosporidiidae. The record is from RNAcentral.